UAUAAACUUGAAAAGUCCUGCUCCACUUUUAUUUGGUUGAACAGUAUUAUCGGAAGAGGGAAGUCAAAAUAAUCAAGAACAGAACAACUCAAAAUACAGGAAGAGAAACACAAUGGCCAACACAUGUGAAGGCAAACACAUUCUACAUUUCAGUCUGGUUUUGCCUCUGUUUAGGUGUUGAAAGCUACCACAAUUGAUCAAACCAUGUAUUAACUAUUCAGACUGGAAGAUCUGUCAACCUCCCAUGUCAUUAUGACAAGAAAUACACAAAGCAGAAGAAAUACUGGUUCUCAGAGAUUGAUAAAUCUAGUACAUACACAAACACAACAGAGCAGAAACAGUAUUUGAUCAUCCUGAUCAGAGUCUCUUUACUGUGACUAUGAGAAACCUGCAGAACAAACACAAUGGACAUUAUUAUUGUGUUGUGGAGACUGGAGAACAACCACAGAUAAAUGCUAUUUAUGAGUCGUAUAUCAAGAUUCAAUCUGCUCCUGAUGCGUCCCUGAGAAGCAGCAAAUGUGUAUCUGGAUGUGAAGGUGGUGAUAAAAGUGUUCAGUGUCUCUGGAUAUCAGAAUAUGCUCAAACAGUGGUGCAGAAUUAAAGAUGGGAGCUGGUUCACAGUGGGGAGGACUGAAACAUCCCAGAAAUCAUCAGUCCAGAUCAGUGAUGAUGACUGGACUGAGACUGACUGAUUCUGGCUGGUACUUGAGAGGCACUGAAUCCUGUUCAUCUCACUGUAACUGAGAACCAGAAUUGAAACCGUGAUUUUCAAGAAACCUAAUAAUGAAACAAAAGACACAGAGGAGCCACAAAAGUACUACACAUGUAUUGUUAUAAUAAAAUAUUUAAGGCUUAGAAUCCAAUUCUAAAACCUUUGAAAUACAUUUAACAAAAGGGCUUUCCACGCUUGAAAUAUUUAAUCAUGAUUCAUUAAACACUGGACGAUCUGAAUCAUUUGUUAUCUUGUAAGACACUUUAUAAUUUAUUCAUGAUUAAAGUCACCAUGAAACGUAAGUAGCAAUUAUCUGUUUUUCUUUACUGUGACGUCUAUCAGAGUGAAAUGGCAUCUGAAAUGAGAGGGCAGGGCUUGAUUUCAUCCAUUGGGAACUGAUUGGAUCGUUUGAAGUUGGGGUGUUGCUAACAAAAUGGAGGCAGAUCUGAAUGCCAGGUUGCAGUAAGUUGUCUGGGGAUUUCUCUCUUCUGGAUUCACAGCUGACAACCUUGAUAAACAUAACAGAGAACGAGACACUGCCUGAAUGACUGAGCGCAUCCUCCAUCAGGCUAAAGGG
This is a long non-coding RNA of Carassius gibelio (silver crucian carp), 1289 nucleotides long. RefSeq lists it as uncharacterized. NCBI's taxonomy places the organism in Eukaryota, Metazoa, Chordata, Actinopteri, Cypriniformes, Cyprinidae. The record is from RefSeq and is a predicted model, not a curated record. The transcript has 4 exons.